AUGUCCGUAACUCAGUCAGGUAGAGUGCCAUCAUGACAUGAUGGAAGUCAGUGGUUCAAUUCCACUCGGACAUA
RNAcentral lists this transfer RNA (74 nucleotides) under Buchnera aphidicola str. Bp (Baizongia pistaciae). It matches the Rfam family "tRNA". Rfam says of the family: Transfer RNA (tRNA) molecules are approximately 80 nucleotides in length. Their secondary structure includes four short double-helical elements and three loops (D, anti-codon, and T loops). The record is from Rfam by way of RNAcentral. Lineage: Bacteria; Pseudomonadati; Pseudomonadota; Gammaproteobacteria; Enterobacterales; Erwiniaceae.